UGCGGAGGGUGCAAGCGUUAUCCGGAUUCACUGGGUUUAAAGGGUGCGUAGGUGGGCAAGUAAGUCAGUGGUGAAAUCUCCUGGCUUAACCCGGAAACUGCCAUUGAUACUAUUUGUCUUGAAUACUGUGGAGGUCAGCGGAAUAUGUCAUGUAGCGGUGAAAUGCUUAGAUAUGACAUAGAACACCAAUUGCGAAGGCAGCUCACUACACAAUCAUUGACGCUGAGGCACGAAAGCGUGGGGAUCAAACAGG
This 253-nucleotide ribosomal RNA is filed under the name uncultured bacterium. RNAcentral's name for it is "partial 16S ribosomal RNA". It matches the Rfam family "Bacterial small subunit ribosomal RNA", at positions 524 to 776 of the family's 1533-position model. The record is from RNAcentral.